This 317-nucleotide small nuclear RNA is filed under the name Octodon degus (degu). RNAcentral describes it as "7SK RNA (ENSODEG00000024778.1)". It matches the Rfam family "7SK RNA". Rfam says of the family: 7SK was discovered as an abundant small nuclear RNA in the mid-70s but a possible function has only recently been suggested. The record is from RNAcentral. Lineage: Eukaryota; Metazoa; Chordata; Mammalia; Rodentia; Octodontidae.
GGAUGUGAGAACACUCUGGCUGCAACAUCUGUCACCCCACUGAUUGCCACGGUUGAUUUGGCUGAUAUGGCUGGCUAGAUGAGUGUCCCUUCCCUCCCUCAGUGUUGCAUGUGCAUGCCUCCUGAAGCUGCAUACUUGGUCAGAGAGGACAACCACCCUGAUGAAAGAGGACUAUCCCUCGGUCAAGGGUAUGUAAGUAGUUGUACUCCUCUGCUAGAACCUCCAAACAACUCUCAAGAGUAACUAAGACAGCAUCCAUCAUAAACAUCUGCAGGAAACAUGGUAAGAAGAAAUAUACAAAUACAAUUCUGCAAUUG